This 298-nucleotide ribosomal RNA is filed under the name uncultured eukaryote. Its description in RNAcentral is "partial 18S ribosomal RNA". It matches the Rfam family "Eukaryotic small subunit ribosomal RNA", at positions 1470 to 1796 of the family's 1831-position model. The record is from RNAcentral.
CCCUUAGACACUCUAGGCGGCACGCGCGCUACAAUGGGUGGAAGACCGUGUUACUGCCUUCGAAAGAAGGGGUGAAUCACGAAUUCUUACCCGUGAAUGGGAUAGUUUGUUGCAAUUUUCGGACUUGAACUAGGAAUCCCUUGUAAGCAUGCUCAAGAAUAGCGUGUUGAAUACGUCCCUGCCGUUUGUACACACCGCCCGUCGUUUCUUCCGACUGAUACUCAUUGUGAGUUGCAAGGACGCUUCAUUGUGAGAUUGCUGCGAAUGCUUUGUAUUGGAGGAAGAAAAAGUCGUANCA